Cyanistes caeruleus (blue tit) is the source of this 629-nucleotide non-coding RNA. The record is from RefSeq and is a predicted model, not a curated record. NCBI's taxonomy places the organism in Eukaryota, Metazoa, Chordata, Aves, Passeriformes, Paridae.
UAGUGUGUUAUCCCAAACACCUGCAGAGCAUGGGUUUAGCUUCAGCUUGCUCUGGGUGCAAGCACUUUUAUUGUGUGCUGCUCCAGGUUCCCUCAGAGCAGCUCCCUCCAGCUCCUUGGGCUACCCUGAGCUUCAGGAAGCAAUGCUCUAAAGUGGGAUUGCAGGAGUUCGCAAAAUUCCGCAAGUGCUUCCUGGGCAGGGUGUGCACAAGCUCCCCCCAGGAGAAAAUGCAGGUCUGGGAAUAAGCAGAGGAGUCGUAGGAAUGGCUCUACUGAAGGUGCUUGGGCCAGAGAACGCAGCUUGCAAGGCAACCUGAUGAUGAAAUCAAUAAUUUACCUCAUGGUACGGCUGAGAUGGGUUGAGUCUUCCCAAGUCAACUUAGAGGUUACAUCUGGUCUUAAAGGCACAGCGGUUCCCGUGGCCUCUCUGCCCAGAAGUUGCAGUGGAAGAUGAUUUUUUGGAGAAGGGGGUGGGAAUUCUUCCUACAAAACAACAUCUCUCAGGCUCCUCUGUCUUAUUUUAAGAUGCAGAAUUCAUCCCAGAAAUACCACCGGACAGCCUGUGUGCCUGGUACAAUCGCUGUCACUGAAACUAACAUGAAUUGAGAUUAAUUUUUAUCACUUCAGAGG